RNAcentral lists this ribosomal RNA (276 nucleotides) under uncultured bacterium. RNAcentral describes it as "partial 16S ribosomal RNA". It matches the Rfam family "Bacterial small subunit ribosomal RNA", at positions 333 to 606 of the family's 1533-position model. The record is from RNAcentral.
UAGAUCCUACGGGACGCAACAGUGAGGAAUAUUGGUCAAUGGUCGGGAGACUGAACCAGCCAAGCCGCGUGAGGGAUGAAGGUACAGAGUAUCGUAAACCCCUUUUGUCAGGGAACAAAGGCGGGGACGCGUCCCCGGAUGAGUGUACCUGAAGAAAAAGCAUCGGCUAACUCCGUGCCAGCAGCCGCGGUAAUACGGAGGAUGCGAGCGUUAUCCGGAUUUAUUGGGUUUAAAGGGUGCGCAGGCGGUCUGUUAAGUCAGCGGUCAAAGCCCGGG